This 248-nucleotide unclassified non-coding RNA is filed under the name Scytalidium sp. RNAcentral describes it as "partial contains small subunit ribosomal RNA, internal transcribed spacer 1, and 5.8S ribosomal RNA". The stretch from base 1 to 46 matches the Rfam family "Eukaryotic small subunit ribosomal RNA", at positions 1786 to 1831 of the family's 1831-position model. The record is from RNAcentral. Lineage: Eukaryota; Fungi; Ascomycota; Leotiomycetes. RNAcentral also lists the same sequence under 3 other names.
AAGUCGUAACAAGGUCUCCGUAGGUGAACCUGCGGAGGGAUCAUUACAGAGUUCAUGCCCUCGCGGGUAGAUCUCCCACCCUUGCGUAUUCAUACCUUUGUUGCUUUGGCAGGCCGCCUGGGCUCAUGCCCGGCCACCGGCUCUCGGGCUGGUGCGUGCCUGCCAGAGGAUCUCCAAACUCCAGUUAUCAGUGUUGUCUGAGUCUUAAACAAUCGUUAAAACUUUCAACAACGGAUCUCUUGGUUCUG